This is a long non-coding RNA of Oncorhynchus keta (chum salmon), 1072 nucleotides long. RefSeq lists it as uncharacterized. The transcript has 5 exons. The record is from RefSeq and is a predicted model, not a curated record. Lineage: Eukaryota; Metazoa; Chordata; Actinopteri; Salmoniformes; Salmonidae.
GAGAGAGAGAGAGAGAGGUAUAUCCCAUGAGAGAGAGAGAGGUAUAUCCCAUGAGAGAGAGAGAGGUAUAUCCCAUGAGAGAGAGAGGUAUAUCCCACGAGAGAGAGAGAGAGAGAGAGAGGUAUAUCCCAUGAGAGAGAGAGAGAGAGAGAGGUAUAUCCCAUGAGAGAGAGAGGUAUAUCCCAUGAGAGAGAGAGGUAUAUCCCAUGAGAGAGAGAGAGAGAGAGAGGUAUAUCCCAUGAGAGAGAGAGAGGUAUAUCCCAUGAGAGAGAGAGGUAUAUCCCAUGAGAGAGAGAGAGAGAGAGAGAGAGAGAUAGAAGAGAGAGAGAGAGAGAGAGAGAGAGAGAGAGAGAGAGAGAGAGAGAGAGAGAGAGGUAUAUCCCAUGAGAGAGAGAGAGAGAGGUAUAUCCCAUGAGAGAGAGAGAGAGGUAUAUCCCAUGAGAGAGAGAGAGAGGUAUAUCCCAUGAGAGAGAGAGGUAUAUCCCAUGAGAGAGAGAGGUAUAUCCCAUGAGAGAGAGAGGUAUAUCCCAUGAGAGAGAGGUAUAUCCCAUGAGAGAGAGAGGUAUAUCCCAAGAGAGAGAGGUAUAUCCAGAGAGAGAGAGAGAGAGGUAUAUCCCAUGAGAGAGAGAGAGAGAGGUAUAUCCCAUGAGAGAGAGAGAGAGGUAUAUCCCAUGAGAGAGAUCGAGAGGUAUAUCCCAUGAGAGAGAGAGGUAUAUCCCAUGAGAGAGAGAGGUAUAUCCCAUGAGAGAGAGAGGUAUAUCCCAUGAGAGAGAGAGGUAUAUCCCAAGAGAGAGAGGUAUAUCCAGAGAGAGAGAGAGAGAGGUAUAUCCCAUGAGAGAGAGAGAGGUAUAUCCCAUGAGAGAGAGAGAGAGAGAGAGGUAUAUCCCAUGAGAGAGAGAGAGGUAUAUCCCAUGAGAGAGAGAGAGGUAUAUCCCAUGAGAGAGAGAGAGAGAGAGAGAGAGAGAGGUAUAUCCCAUGAGAGAGAGAGAGAGGUAUAUCCCAUGAGAGAGAGAGAGAGGUAUAUCCCAUGAGAGAGAGAGAGAGGUAUAUCCCAUGAGAGAGAGAGAGAGAG